UACGUAGGGGGCAAGCGUUGUCCGGAUUUAUUGGGCGUAAAGAGCUCGUAGGCGGCUUGUCGCGUCGUCCGUGAAAACCCGUGGCUCAACCAUGUGGUCUGCAGUCGAUACGGGCAGGCUAGAAUUCGGUAGGGGAGACUGGAAUUCCUGGUGUAGCGGUGAAAUGCGCAGAUAUCAGGAGGAACACCGGUGGCGAAGGCGGGUUGCUGGGCUGACACUGACGCUGAGGCGCGAAAGCUAGGGGAGCGAACGGG
RNAcentral lists this ribosomal RNA (254 nucleotides) under uncultured bacterium. Its description in RNAcentral is "partial 16S ribosomal RNA". It matches the Rfam family "Bacterial small subunit ribosomal RNA", at positions 524 to 776 of the family's 1533-position model. The record is from RNAcentral.